GAUGAACGCUGGCGGCGUGCUUAACACAUGCAAGUCGAACGGAAAGGCUCCUGCUUGCAGGGGUACUCGAGUGGCGAACGGGUGAGUAACACGUGGGUGAUCUGCCCUGCACUUCGGGAUAAGCCUGGGAAACUGGGUCUAAUACCGGAUAGGACGAUGGUUUGGAUGCCAUUGUGGAAAGUUUUUUCGGUGUGGGAUGAGCUCGCGGCCUAUCAGCUUGUUGGUGGGGUAAUGGCCUACCAAGGCGUCGACGGGUAGCCGGCCUGAGAGGGUGUACGGCCACAUUGGGACUGAGAUACGGCCCAGACUCCUACGGGAGGCAGCAGUGGGGAAUAUUGCACAAUGGGCGCAAGCCUGAUGCAGCGACGCCGCGUGGGGGAUGACGGCCUUCGGGUUGUAAACUCCUUUCGCUAGGGACGAAGCGCAAGUGACGGUACCUGGAGAAGAAGCACCGGCUAACCACGUG
RNAcentral lists this ribosomal RNA (466 nucleotides) under uncultured bacterium. Its description in RNAcentral is "partial 16S ribosomal RNA". It matches the Rfam family "Bacterial small subunit ribosomal RNA", at positions 28 to 507 of the family's 1533-position model. The record is from RNAcentral.